Long non-coding RNA from Mangifera indica (mango), 519 nucleotides. RefSeq lists it as uncharacterized. The transcript is spliced from 2 exons. The record is from RefSeq and is a predicted model, not a curated record. NCBI's taxonomy places the organism in Eukaryota, Viridiplantae, Streptophyta, Magnoliopsida, Sapindales, Anacardiaceae.
CAUUUCUAUCUAUAAAAAGCAAGCUGCUUCCCCUAUCUCUUACCAAUAAAUAAAGAAGAAAGCAUGCUGGUCGUCGCUUGUACUUGCCUGGUAGCAGUUUUGCUACUUAUUACCCAGUUGAUUUGUUACUGGGUCCAACUACUUGUCACCCAUGUUCAAGAUCAUCAAUUUCUCUGUGUUCUUGAAAUCAAUGUCAAGGAUUUCUCCACUAACACCUCCCAAGAUACAGGUCAUGGUUCAACUAAUGAGAGGAGGCCGGAGUCGGACUGUAAAAUGCAAAGCACAUAAAUUUGCUGGAGAGAAGACAUGAUUAGAAGCUUUCUGGAGAAGAAAAACAGAAGCCAUGAUAUACUGUAAACAGUGUAGAGAGUAAUCUCAAGCUAGUAAGAAUAAAUAAUAGUCUGGCCAGUGAUACAUAUUCCAACAAAGAUAAUAUGUAUAACAAGCCAUCAACUGUACAUGUAUAAUCGUGAAAUUAGAGCUCUGUUCUACUUUAACAUGAGCUUUUCUGUUACAGUA